This 353-nucleotide ribosomal RNA is filed under the name uncultured bacterium. Its description in RNAcentral is "bacterial SSU rRNA". It matches the Rfam family "Bacterial small subunit ribosomal RNA", at positions 69 to 422 of the family's 1533-position model. The record is from RNAcentral.
CGCGGAUGUAGCAAUACAUCUGGCGGCGAGCGGCGGACGGGUGAGGAAUGCGUCGGAAUCUGCCUCUUUGUGGGGGAUAACGUAGGGAAACUUACGCUAAUACCGCAUACGACCUACGGGUGAAAGUGGGGGACCGCAAGGCCUCACGCAGAGAGAUGAGCCGACGCCGGAUUAGCUAGUUGGCGGGGUAAAGGCCCACCAAGGCGACGAUCCGUAGCUGGUCUGAGAGGAUGAUCAGCCACACUGGAACUGAGACACGGUCCAGACUCCUACGGGAGGCAGCAGUGGGGAAUCUUGGACAAUGGGGGCAACCCUGAUCCAGCCAUGCCGCGUGAGCGAUGAAGGCCUUAGGG